CAGUCGCCGCGGGAAUACAGAGGGUGCGAGCGUUAAUCGGAUUUACUGGGCGUAAAGCGUGCGUAGGCGGCUUUUUAAGUCGGAUGUGAAAUCCCUGAGCUUAACUUAGGAAUCGCAUUCGAUACUGGGAAGCUAGAGUAUGGGAGAGGAUGGUAGAAUUCCAGGUGUAGCGGUGAAAUGCGUAGAGAUCUGGAGGAAUACCGAUGGCGAAGGCAGCCAUCUGGCCUAAUACUGACGCUGAGGUACGAAAGCAUGGGGAGCAAACAGGAUUAGAUACCCGAGUAGUCCCUGUCUCUUAUAC
This 301-nucleotide ribosomal RNA is filed under the name uncultured bacterium. RNAcentral's name for it is "partial 16S ribosomal RNA". It matches the Rfam family "Bacterial small subunit ribosomal RNA", at positions 509 to 807 of the family's 1533-position model. The record is from RNAcentral.